GUGCGCUUUGUGUCCUUGCUCAGCUCAGCGGCUCACCAGUAAACGGCCCGUGUCCCCGAAAGUAACAGCUGUUGCCCUGAAGGGCCUCCGAAUGCAUAUUUUUCACGAGGGCACUAUUGGCCCGAUCUGCCAAUUUCUGCAUCGGCUCACCACCGGAAAAGGUGCUGCGGUUGGCAAGUAAAGGCCGAAAAUAACUGACAUUGGGGUGGGGCCGAGAGCUGUGACACAGCUGCUUUUAGAGGACGGUUCAAGUUGUGUGUGAAGCUGCAGCCAACUCAUUUCACUGUCUGGGAGACAUGGACAUGGCAGUUCCUCUGGUCGUGAAGGCCCAAUCUGUGGAGCAUCUCCUCCACCUCUGCGGCUCUGUUUGGGCAGAACACAUCAAACGAAUCCCCCGGCUCAUAGGCUAUCGUCGGAGAUGUCCAACUCUAAGAGAAGGCUGGUCUUGACUGAAUCUCCACUGGUCAGGUGCACCGCCCUGUUUAUGGGAACCUCGUGAAGACUUUCUUUGAUUGGCUGUUCAACAAUCUGGAAAAAAAACAAUAAAAUUAAGACAAAGACUAAACUAAGGAACAAUAUAUUUAUUUUAAUAAGCAGCAUCAUUCCUCACC
This is a long non-coding RNA of Limanda limanda (common dab), 611 nucleotides long. RefSeq lists it as uncharacterized. NCBI's taxonomy places the organism in Eukaryota, Metazoa, Chordata, Actinopteri, Pleuronectiformes, Pleuronectidae. The record is from RefSeq and is a predicted model, not a curated record. The transcript is spliced from 3 exons.